RNAcentral lists this ribosomal RNA (450 nucleotides) under uncultured bacterium. RNAcentral describes it as "partial 16S ribosomal RNA". It matches the Rfam family "Bacterial small subunit ribosomal RNA", at positions 354 to 796 of the family's 1533-position model. The record is from RNAcentral.
GUGGGGAAUUUUGGACAAUGGGCGCAAGCCUGAUCCAGCAAUGCCGCGUGCAGGAAGAAGGCCUUCGGGUUGUAAACUGCUUUUGUACGGAACGAAACGGUCCGGGUUAAUACCCUGGGCUAAUGACGGUACCGUAAGAAUAAGCACCGGCUAACUACGUGCCAGCAGCCGCGGUAAUACGUAGGGUGCAAGCGUUAAUCGGAAUUACUGGGCGUAAAGCGUGCGCAGGCGGUUUUGUAAGACAGGCGUGAAAUCCCCGGGCUCAACCUGGGAAUUGCGCUUGUGACUGCAAGGCUGGAGUGCGGGAGAGGGGGAUGGAAUUCCGCGUGUAGCAGUGAAAUGCGUAGAUAUGCGGAGGAACACCGAUGGCGAAGGCAAUCCCCUGGGCCUGCACUGACGCUCAUGCACGAAAGCGUGGGGAGCAAACAGGAUUAGAAACCCGAGUAGUCC